UACGGGGGGGGUAAGCGUUGUUCGGAAUUACUGGGCGUAAAGGGCUCGUAGGCGGCCAACUAAGUCAUACGUGAAAUCCCUCAGCUUAACUGGGGAACUGCGUGUGAUACUGGAUGGCUUGGAUUUGGGAGAGGGAUGCGGAAUUCCAGGUGUAGCGGUGAAAUGCGUAGAUAUCGGAAGGAACAUCAGUGGCGAAAGCGGCUUCCUGGACCAGCACCGACGUUCAGGCACGAAAGCGUGGGGAGCAAACAGG
Molecule: ribosomal RNA, 253 nt
Filed under: uncultured bacterium
Lineage: Bacteria
Description: partial 16S ribosomal RNA
Rfam family: Bacterial small subunit ribosomal RNA
Source: RNAcentral